RNAcentral lists this long non-coding RNA (362 nucleotides) under Ananas comosus (pineapple). Its description in RNAcentral is "long non-coding RNA (ACOM_LNC019264)". The record is from RNAcentral. Lineage: Eukaryota; Viridiplantae; Streptophyta; Magnoliopsida; Poales; Bromeliaceae.
AUAUAUUUAAGAUUUACUUACACUACCAUAAGCAAUUAAUCAUUGAGUGGUGCCUUCGAAAAAAUAAAUAGUACAGUAUAGAAAGUGAAACAUAUCUGUAAAAUAUAGUGUAGUACAGUGUAACUAAGCUAAGGAAAAUUAAGUACAUUGUUAUGCGAGUUUAAUCAUGAUUCUUUGAUUUACAAAAUCAUUAAAGUAAAUUGAAAAUGGAUUAUAUAUGCAUAUAUGAUUCUCUUGGUUUUGUAAAAUCAUUAGGAUCUAAAAAUAAUGGGUAUUGGAGUGGACCAUGUUGGAGGAUGUUCUAAAUUGAUUAAAUCUUCUCUGUCACAUGAAAUCGAAAUCAAAGUCAGCGUCAAUUAAUA